CAGGUUGCUUUGCGCUUGGCGUGGCAUGUGGCCCACAACUUGUGCAAGCGCGAAAAACAAAUUCUUGCAUAUCCCAGUUGGGCUUUUUCCCCAGUUAAGUGUUGUGCUGAGCUAGAAAUAUGUUUGAGCCAGUUUUAGAUUUUUUGGACCUCAACACAACUUAUUCACGUGUUAACUCGGAGAUCAAAACUUUAAGUGAAGAAAAAGGAAAAAAGUACUAUGUUCUUUUACCAAC
Molecule: long non-coding RNA, 235 nt
Filed under: Prunus persica (peach)
Lineage: Eukaryota; Viridiplantae; Streptophyta; Magnoliopsida; Rosales; Rosaceae
Description: long non-coding RNA (PPER_LNC003499)
Source: RNAcentral